Molecule: ribosomal RNA, 700 nt
Filed under: uncultured Bacteroidota bacterium
Lineage: Bacteria; Pseudomonadati; Bacteroidota
Description: bacterial SSU rRNA
Rfam family: Bacterial small subunit ribosomal RNA
Source: RNAcentral
ACCGGCGUACGGGUGAGUAACACGUACCCAACCUGCCUCUUACUGGGAAAUAGCCCUUGGAAACGAGGAUUAAUGUCCCAUAACAUUGCGAGAAGGCAUCUUCUUGCAAUUAAAGCUCCGGCGGUAAGAGAUGGGGGUGCGUCCCAUUAGCUAGUUGGUAGGGUAACGGCCUACCAAGGCUACGAUGGGUAACUGGCGUGAGAGCGCGACCAGUCACACGGGCACUGAGACACGGGCCCGACUCCUACGGGAGGCAGCAGUAGGGAAUAUUGGGCAAUGGAGGCAACUCUGACCCAGCCAUGCCGCGUGCAGGAUGAAUGCCCUCUGGGUUGUAAACUGCUUUUAUAUGGGAAGAAACCUUCGGAUUCAUCUGGAGCUGACGGUACCAUAGGAAUAAGCACCGGCUAACUCCGUGCCAGCAGCCGCGGUAAUACGGAGGGUGCAAGCGUUAUCCGGAUUUACUGGGUUUAAAGGGUGCGCAGGCGGACUGUUAAGUCAGUGGUGAAAGCCCCGGGCUCAACCUGGGAAUUGCCAUUGAUACUGGCGGUCUUAAGUAUAGUUGAGGUAGGCGGAAUGCAACAUGUAGCGGUGAAAUGCUUAGAUAUGUUGCAGAACACCGAUUGCGAAGGCAGCUUGCUAAACUAUUACUGACGCUCAGGCACGAAAGCGUGGGGAUCAAACAGGAUUAGAUACCCUGGUA